Molecule: long non-coding RNA, 676 nt
Organism: Meriones unguiculatus (Mongolian gerbil)
Lineage: Eukaryota; Metazoa; Chordata; Mammalia; Rodentia; Muridae
Exons: 4
Source: RefSeq, a predicted model, not a curated record
ACAAACAAGCCACUCUCAGAAGCAGCUUUGGGAUUUCCUGUGACCAGAAAGGUGGUCUUCUCCAUGGGUACUUGUGGUAAUACAGAGAAAUAUUAAUUCCUGUCUCUAAUUAUCACUAGGUUGCAGGAGGAGGAUCCCAACAGGGACAAGAGAGAACUUUGACAGAUUCUCUUCAGUAUUCUCCACGCCCCAUGUAAUGUUUGGCUGUGGCACUCUGCAUCUGUUUUCAUCAGAUUGGCGAAGCAUCUCUGAUGACAACUGGACUAGACACCGAUCUAUGAGUCUCUGGGCUAUCCAGUCUCUGGUUCCUGGCCGCUCAGGCAGUGUCAGGGGUAGGCUUCCUCUCAUACAUAGGUCUCAAGAUGGACCAGUCAUUGGUUGGCCACUCCUUCAAUUUCUGUGCCAUCUUGCAGGCCCUGGCGCCUCAACCCCCUAUCUCUGCAAAUAAAGAAGUCCCACCAUCUCAGCCCCAGCCAAUGAUAUGAGCGUACCCUGGAAGUUCCUUCCUACUCCCCAAGGUUCAUAUAACCCUUGUUCGCCUGAAUAAAGCAUACAGGCUGUUUCACUGAAUAUCAUCUAAGAGUUCCUGUGUCACUGGGAGAGCUCCGAGUUAAAAGGCUGUACCACUUGAAAAGCUGUUUCAGAGAGAACUUUCUCUCUUCCGGUAUGACCCGCC